RNAcentral lists this ribosomal RNA (512 nucleotides) under uncultured bacterium. RNAcentral describes it as "bacterial SSU rRNA". It matches the Rfam family "Bacterial small subunit ribosomal RNA", at positions 15 to 518 of the family's 1533-position model. The record is from RNAcentral.
GAUUAUGGCUCAGGAUGAACGCUAGCUACAGGCUUAACACAUGCAAGUCGAGGGGCAGCAUCAGGUUAGCUUGCUAACCUGGAUGGCGACCGGCGCACGGGUGAGUAACGCGUAUCCAACCUUCCCCCUGCUCAGGGAUAGCCCGGUGAAAACCGGAUUAAGACCUGAUAGUUUCACUAGAUGGCAUCUGACGGUGAAUAAAGGUUUCGGCAAGGGAUGGGGAUGCGUCUGAUUAGCUUGUUGGCGGGGUAACGGCCCACCAAGGCGACGAUCAGUAGGGGUUCUGAGAGGAAGGUCCCCCACAUUGGAACUGAGACACGGUCCAAACUCCUACGGGAGGCAGCAGUGAGGAAUAUUGGUCAAUGGGCGGAAGCCUGAACCAGCCAAGUAGCGUGCAGGAAGACGGCCCUAUGGGUUGUAAACUGCUUUUGUGCGGGAAUAAAGUCAGGGACGCGUCCCUGUUUGCAUGUACCGCAAGAAUAAGGACCGGCUAAUUCCGUGCCAGCCGCGGC